RNAcentral lists this ribosomal RNA (253 nucleotides) under uncultured bacterium. RNAcentral's name for it is "partial 16S ribosomal RNA". It matches the Rfam family "Bacterial small subunit ribosomal RNA", at positions 524 to 776 of the family's 1533-position model. The record is from RNAcentral.
UACGGAGGGUGCAAGCGUUAAUCGGAAUUACUGGGCGUAAAGCGCACGCAGGCGGUUUGUUAAGUCAGAUGUGAAAUCCCCGAGCUUAACUUGGGAACUGCAUUUGAAACUGGCAGGCUAGAGUCUUGUAGAGGGGGGUAGAAUUCCAGGUGUAGCGGUGAAAUGCGUAGAGAUCUGGAGGAAUACCGGUGGCGAAGGCGGCCCCCUGGACAAAGACUGACGCUCAGGUGCGAAAGCGUGGGGAGCAAACAGG